This 357-nucleotide unclassified non-coding RNA is filed under the name soil metagenome. RNAcentral describes it as "partial contains 5.8S ribosomal RNA, internal transcribed spacer 2, and large subunit ribosomal RNA". The stretch from base 1 to 120 matches the Rfam family "5.8S ribosomal RNA", at positions 35 to 154 of the family's 154-position model. The record is from RNAcentral.
GAUGAAGAACGUAGCGAAAUGCGAUAAGUAAUGUGAAUUGCAGAAUUCAGUGAAUCAUCGAAUCUUUGAACGCACAUUGCGCCCGCCAGUAUUCUGGCGGGCAUGCCUGUCCGAGCGUCAUUUCAACCCUCGAACCCCUCCGGGGGGUCGGCGUUGGGGACCUCGGGAGCCCCUAAGACGGGAUCCCGGCCCCGAAAUACAGUGGCGGUCUCGCCGCAGCCUCUCCUGCGCAGUAGUUUGCACAACUCGCACCGGGAGCGCGGCGCGUCCACGUCCGUAAAACACCCAACUUCUGAAAUGUUGACCUCGGAUCAGGUAGGAAUACCCGCUGAACUUAAGCAUAUCAAUAGCGGAGGA